AUUGAACGCUGGCGGAAUGCUUUACACAUGCAAGUCGAACGGUAGAGGGGGCAACCCCUUGAGAGUGGCGAACGGGUGAGUAAUAUAUCGGAACGUGCCCAGUCGUGGGGGAUAACGUAGCGAAAGUUACGCUAAUACCGCAUACGAUCUACGGAUGAAAGCGGGGGACUCGCAAGAGCCUCGCGCGAUUGGAGCGGCCGAUAUCAGAUUAGGUAGUUGGUGGGGUAAAGGCUCACCAAGCCAACGAUCUGUAGCUGGUCUGAGAGGACGACCAGCCACACUGGAACUGAGACACGGUCCAGACUCCUACGGGAGGCAGCAGUGGGGAAUUUUGGACAAUGGACGCAAGUCUGAUCCAGCCAUUCCGCGUGCAGGAUGAAGGCCCUCGGGUUGUAAACUGCUUUUGUACGGAACGAAAAGGCUCUUCCUAAUACGAGGGGCUCAUGACGGUACCGUAAGAAUAAGCACCGGCUAACUACGUG
Molecule: ribosomal RNA, 482 nt
Filed under: uncultured bacterium
Lineage: Bacteria
Description: bacterial SSU rRNA
Rfam family: Bacterial small subunit ribosomal RNA
Source: RNAcentral